UUUCCGUAGGUGAACCUGCGGAAGGAUCAUUCAUGAAGGACAUGCUGGAAUCGAGAGUCAAUAAACCUCUUCCAAGUCAUUUUUCCUUUUUCGUGCACAUUUUUAACACAUUUUUUUUUCAACCAACCAUUCAAAAACAAAACUAAACAAACAAAAAAACAAAACUCGUGGCGGUGGAUGUCUAGGUUCCGGUAACGAUGAAGAACGCAGCGAAAUGCGAUAUGUAAUGCGAAUUGCAGAACCCGUGAAUCAUCAAAUUUUUGAACGCAAGUGGCGCUCGUGGGCAAUCCUGCGAGCAUGUCUGUUUGAGUGUCCAAGGUGAAAACUAUUUGUUCCUUUUGAACGGCUGAUGGCCUGUUUGGGGAGCUGCUGAUGGGUGUUUGUCCUUGCAAGUGGUCUUUUUGACGAACGAGCGGGGUCACCUGAAGAGUAGAGUGUCGGGGGAGGGUUUGCGUCUUUGGGCCGAGCUUGUUCUGCUUCUUGUAAAAGGGAAUAUCGGGCUCCCACAGCGUUGUGAAGUAAUGAAAAUUAUGGGAAGCAAGGUUGUUUGGUUGCUGGUACCAGGAAUUGGGCAGUGAGUUUUUGUCUGGGAUUGCGGCUGGUUCACUGGUCUUGAACUAAUCUAACGAUUACAACACACAUAUUUGGAUCUCAAAUCAGACAAGACGACCCGCUGAAUUUAAG
Molecule: ribosomal RNA, 684 nt
Filed under: Callophyllis edentata
Lineage: Eukaryota; Rhodophyta; Florideophyceae; Gigartinales; Kallymeniaceae
Description: eukaryotic LSU rRNA
Rfam family: 5.8S ribosomal RNA (bases 163-315)
Source: RNAcentral